RNAcentral lists this ribosomal RNA (468 nucleotides) under uncultured bacterium. Its description in RNAcentral is "partial 16S ribosomal RNA". It matches the Rfam family "Bacterial small subunit ribosomal RNA", at positions 28 to 507 of the family's 1533-position model. The record is from RNAcentral.
GACGAACGCUGGCGGCGUGCUUAACACAUGCAAGUCGAACGGAAAGGCCCUGCUUUUGUGGGUUGCUCGAGUGGCGAACGGGUGAGUAACACGCGAGUAACCUGCCCUUGACUUUGGGAUAACUCUAGGAGACUGGGGCUAAUACCGGAUAGGAGCUCCUGCUGCAUGGUGGGGGUUGGAAAGUGUCGGCGGUUGGGGAUGGACUCGCUGGUUAUGGGCUUGUUAGUGGGGUAGGGGUUUACCAAGGCUAUGACGGAUAGCCCGCCUGGGAGGGUGACCGGCGACAUGGGGACUAAGAGACGGAGCAGUAGCCAACCGUCGGCAGCAGGCGGAAGCCUUGCGGAGCAAGCGGGCGCGAGAGGUAGAGGCGCUGCGUGCGGAAUGCCGUCCUACGGGUGAUGAACCACUGUGGCCUUAACCGAGGCGUGCGUGACGGUAAUGGGUCAAGAAGCCCCGGCUAACUACGUG